CGCUGGCGGCAGGCUUAACACAUGCAAGUCGAACGAUGACUCUCUAGCUUGCUAGAGAAGAUUAGUGGCGGACGGGUGAGUAACAUUUAGGAAUCUGCCUAGUAGUGGGGGAUAGCUCGGGGAAACUCGAAUUAAUACCGCAUACGACCUACGGGUGAAAGGGGGCGCAAGCUCUUGCUAUUAGAUGAGCCUAAAUCAGAUUAGCUAGUUGGUGGGGUAAAGGCCCACCAAGGCGACGAUCUGUAACUGGUCUGAGAGGAUGAUCAGUCACACCGGAACUGAGACACGGUCCGGACUCCUACGGGAGGCAGCAGUGGGGAAUAUUGGACAAUGGGGGCAACCCUGAUCCAGCCAUGCCGCGUGUGUGAAGAAGGCCUUUUGGUUGUAAAGCACUUUAAGCAGGGAGGAGAGGCUAAUGGUUAAUACCCAUUAGAUUAGACGUUACCUGCAGAAUAAGCACCGGCUAACUCUGUGCCAGCAGCCGCGGUAAUACAGAGGGUGCGAGCGUUAAUCGGAAUUACUGGGCGUAAAGCGAGUGUAGGUGGCUCAUUAAGUCACAUGUGAAAUCCCCGGGCUUAACCUGGGAACUGCAUGUGAUACUGGUGGUGCUAGAAUAUGUGAGAGGGAAGUAGAAUUCCAGGUGUAGCGGUGAAAUGCGUAGAGAUCUGGAGGAAUACCGAUGGCGAAGGCAGCUUCCUGGCAUAAUAUUGACACUGAGAUUCGAAAGCGUGGGUAGCAAACAGGAUUAGAUACCCUGGUAGUCCACGCCGUAAACGAUGUCUACUAGCCGUUGGGGUCCUUGAGACUUUAGUGGCGCAGUUAACGCGAUAAGUAGACCGCCUGGGGAGUACGGCCGCAAGGUUAAAACUCAAAUGAAUUGACGGGGGCCCGCACAAGCGGUGGAGCAUGUGGUUUAAUUCGAUGCAACGCGAAGAACCUUACCUGGUCUUGACAUAGUGAGAAUCCUGCAGAGAUGAGAGAGUGCCUUCGGGAACUCACAUACAGGUGCUGCAUGGCUGUCGUCAGCUCGUGUCGUGAGAUGUUGGGUUAAGUCCCGCAACGAG
Molecule: ribosomal RNA, 1064 nt
Filed under: Faucicola osloensis
Lineage: Bacteria; Pseudomonadati; Pseudomonadota; Gammaproteobacteria; Moraxellales; Moraxellaceae
Description: bacterial SSU rRNA
Rfam family: Bacterial small subunit ribosomal RNA
Source: RNAcentral